UGUCAUGUCCUGUGUUUACUCUGGGUGAUAGACAGUACAGCCUGUCAUGUCCUGUGUUUACUCUGGGUGAUAGACAGUACAGCCUGUCAGGUCCUGUGUUUACUCUGGGUGAUAAGACAGUACAGCCUGGCAGGUCCUGUGUUUACUCUGGGUGAUAGACAGUACCGCCUCUCAGGUCCUGUGUUUACUCUGGGUGAUAAGACGGUACAUCCUGUCAGGUCCUGUGUUUACUCUGGGUGAUAAGACAGUACAGCCUGUCAGGUCCUGUGUUUACUCUGGGUGAUAGACAGUACAUCGUGUCAGGUCCUGUGUUUACUCUGGGUGAUGUAGUAGACAGUACAGCCUGUCAGGCCCUGUGUUUACUCUGGGUGAUGUAGUAGACAGUACAGCCUGGCAGGUCCUGUGUUUACUCUGGGUGAUAAGACAGUACAGCCUGUCAUGUCCUGUGUUUACUCUGGGUGAUGUAGUAGACAGUACAGCCUGUCAUGUCCUGUGUUUACUCUGGGUUAUGUAGUAGACAGUACAGCCUGGCAGGUCAUGUGUUUACUCUGGGUGAUAGACAGUACAGCCUGUCAGGUCCUGUGUUUACUCUGGGUGAUGUAGUAGACAGUACAGCCUGGCAGGUCCUGUGUUUACUCUGGGUGAUAGACAGUACAGCCUGUCAGGCCCUGUAUUUACUCUGGGUGAUGUAGUAGACAGUACAGCCUGUCAGGUCCUCACUCUGG
This 725-nucleotide long non-coding RNA is filed under the name Salmo salar (Atlantic salmon). Its description in RNAcentral is "lncRNA (ENSSSAG00000082195.1)". The record is from RNAcentral. Lineage: Eukaryota; Metazoa; Chordata; Actinopteri; Salmoniformes; Salmonidae.